GGAUGAACGCUGGCGGCGUGCUUAACCCAUGCAAGUCGAACGGGAAACCUUUUAUUGAAGCUUCGGCAGAUUUAGCUGGUUUCUAGUGGCGGACGGGUGAGUAACGCGUGGGUAACCUGCCUUAUACAGGGGGAUAACAACCAGAAAUGGUUGCUAAUACCGCAUAAGCGCACAGGACCGCAUGGUCCGGUGUGAAAAACUCCGGUGGUAUAAGAUGGACCCGCGUUGGAUUAGCUAGUUGGCAGGGUAACGGCCUACCAAGGCGACGAUCCAUAGCCGGCCUGAGAGGGUGAACGGCCACAUUGGGACUGAGACACGGCCCAGACUCCUACGGGAGGCAGCAGUGGGGAAUAUUGCACAAUGGGGGAAACCCUGAUGCAGCGACGCCGCGGGAAGGAAGAAGUAUCUCGGUAUGUAAACUUCUAUCAGCAGGGAAGAUAGUGACGGGACCUGACUAAGAAGCCCCGGCUAACUACGU
This 478-nucleotide ribosomal RNA is filed under the name uncultured bacterium. Its description in RNAcentral is "partial 16S ribosomal RNA". It matches the Rfam family "Bacterial small subunit ribosomal RNA", at positions 27 to 506 of the family's 1533-position model. The record is from RNAcentral.